RNAcentral lists this ribosomal RNA (253 nucleotides) under uncultured bacterium. RNAcentral describes it as "partial 16S ribosomal RNA". It matches the Rfam family "Bacterial small subunit ribosomal RNA", at positions 524 to 776 of the family's 1533-position model. The record is from RNAcentral.
UACGUAGGGACCAAGCGUUGUUCGGAUUUACUGGGCGUAAAGGGCGCGUAGGCGGCGUGGUAAGUCACUUGUGAAAUCUCUGAGCUUAACUCAGAACGGUCAAGUGAUACUGCUGUGCUAGAGUGCGGAAGGGACAAUCGGAAUUCUUGGUGUAGCGGUGAAAUGCGUAGAUAUCAAGAGGAACACCUGAGGUGAAGACGGGUUGCUGGGCCGACACUGACGCUGAUGCGCGAAAGCCAGGGGAGCAAACGGG